AUUUAUUGUUAGGAAAGUCCAUGCUAGCACAAUCUGAGAUGAUUGUAGUGUUUGUGCCAGUUGAAUAAAUAAAACUGGGAAUUCUUCGGAAUUACGGCGGAAGAAACCUAAGUUCUUUUAGAAUAUGGUGUAUUCUGUAAAGUGCCACAGAGACGAUUCUUUUAGAAAUGAAAGAUUGAAACGUUGGUAAACCCCUCAAGCUAGAAACCCAAAUUAUGGUAGGGGAGUCUUACAAGUCGAAAUGAAGAGGCGUAAGGACGAGAAAUCGUAGAUAAAUAGUUACCACCUGAAUAAGGUACAGAACAUGGCUUAUAA
RNAcentral lists this RNase P RNA (315 nucleotides) under uncultured Anaeroplasma sp. RNAcentral's name for it is "Bacterial RNase P class B". It matches the Rfam family "Bacterial RNase P class B". Rfam says of the family: Ribonuclease P (RNase P) is a ubiquitous endoribonuclease, found in archaea, bacteria and eukarya as well as chloroplasts and mitochondria. Its best characterised activity is the generation of mature 5'-ends of tRNAs by cleaving the 5'-leader elements of precursor-tRNAs. Lineage: Bacteria; Bacillati; Mycoplasmatota; Mollicutes; Anaeroplasmatales; Anaeroplasmataceae. The record is from RNAcentral.